UACAGAGGUGGCAAGCGUUGUUCGGAAUUACUGGGCGUAAAGGGCUCGUAGGCGGCCAACUAAGUCAGACGUGAAAUCCCUCGGCUUAACCGGGGAACUGCGUCUGAUACUGGAUGGCUUGAAUCCGGGAGAGGGAUGCGGAAUUCCAGGUGUAGCGGUGAAAUUCGUAGAUAUCGGGAGGAACACCAGUGGCGAAGGCGGCUCUCUGGACCGGUACUGACGCUCAGGCGCGAAAGCGUGGGGAGCGAGCCGG
Molecule: ribosomal RNA, 253 nt
Filed under: uncultured bacterium
Lineage: Bacteria
Description: partial 16S ribosomal RNA
Rfam family: Bacterial small subunit ribosomal RNA
Source: RNAcentral